RNAcentral lists this long non-coding RNA (5093 nucleotides) under Marmota monax (woodchuck). The stretch from base 3617 to 3689 matches the Rfam family "tRNA". Lineage: Eukaryota; Metazoa; Chordata; Mammalia; Rodentia; Sciuridae. The record is from RNAcentral.
GAUUUUUUUGUUUUCUGUUUUACUCAAAUUCUUGUCAUUUAACUCCUUUGGUGAGAGAUAAGCCUAAAUGUAGGACUUUAAUUUGAAAUAAUUUAAGCAAAUUUAUCCUUUCAAAAAAACCCAAAACAAUCAGCUCACGUUUAUUUUAUUUUUUACUUUUCCUAAAGGCAGCAGGUCUUCAUCCAACUGCUGAACAGAUUGAAAUGUUUGCUUACCACCUCCCUGAUACAACACUUUCCAAUCUCAUCGUAAGUAGAAACUUUGAAGUCUCAUCUAAAAAUGGUGGUAUGCUAGAGAGUUACUGGUCCACCUCAUGGGUCUGGGUGGAUAGUCUGCCUUUGUAAAGUUGCUCUCCAUGUAACUUAUCUUGUAGAUGAAGACUUUCUUUCAAAAUCCUCUGGGAGUUUCUUGAGGAAUGUUCUGUCUGAGUUUCAGGUUGGGAAGCUGUGGGGGAGAUCUCUUAGCUUCGGGAGGCAGUGAAUAAAGCAGGCCUUUCUGGAAGUCUCUUGUGGAUUAAAGACAUUGUCUUCUAUAGACUUUAUUCCUGCCCAUUGAUGCAGUCCAGUAACUUCAUAUAUUUUUCCUCCCCCAGGAUAUUUUUGUAGACUUCUCACAAGUUGAUGGGCAGUAUUUUGUCUGCAAUAUGGAUGAUUUUAAGUUUUCUGCAGAGUUAAUCCAGCAUAUCCCAUUAAGUCUCCGAGUGAGAUACGUGUUCUGCACAGCCCCUAUCAAUAAGAAGCAGCCCUUUGUGUGCUCCUCAUUGUUACAGGUGAGCCUUCAUGUCUGCUAUUUUGGCUUGUUUAAGAUGGACACCUUUUUUUCCAAAUAAUUGUUUGUUAUUUGAAAUUAAACAUUUGGGAGAGUACCAUAUAAAUAUAAGAGACUUUCUAAAAACUUAAAUAUUCUUGACUCUUUUUCUCACAGAUAAUUUUUUUUCCCCAGUAUUGGGGAUUGAACCCAGGGGGUGCUCUACUGCAAAGCUACAUCCUUAGCUCUUUUUAUUUAUUUACUUCAUAUUUUGAGACAAGUUCUCACUAAGUUGCCCAGGCUGACCUCAAGCUUGUCGUCCUCCUGCCUCAGCCUUCCAAAAUGCUGAGAUUACAGGUGGGCACCACUAUGCCUGGCUUUACAGAUAAUUUUUGAGGGAGGUAGAACCCUUGUCUUACAUUUGGGCUCAUAUUGUAGCCACUGUGAAGAAGCUAAAACAAAGACUGGGGUUGUAUCUCAGUGGCAGAGCGCUUGCCUUGCAUGCAUGAGGCAUUGGGUUCCAUCCUUAGCACCACACAUAAAAAUAAACAAAAUAAAGAUGUUGUGUCCAUCUACAAUUUAAAAAAAAAAUUUAAAAAGAGUCUAAAAUAAAAAUGAUUUAAAAAUAUAUUUUGAGGGAAGGCACUUUGCCUGAUGGCAAACCUUUUCCUUAUUGUUGUGGGGUAACUAUUUCAAAGGGAGAGGGAUUGCAGUAGUGGCAACAAUAUUCAGUUUUCUUAACUGUAAGGCACUGUGCUGGGUGGUUGUCUUGUGUGAGUAUGGGGCCUAGGUUCCAGCCCCCUUCCUUUUAACCCGUUUGUGUAGGGAUGUGAAUCUGUGACUUCUGAGGAGCACAGGACUUUGUGGGAAAGGGCAGCGAGGGCAGGGGAACCCUACAGAGGCCUCUUCUUCCUCUGAAGACUCAUCGUUGCCAACUCCUCUAGAGGCCUUUGUAUUCUGUGCACUAGCUCUUUUAACCAAAUCUAUUUCUAAAUAUAAAUAUGUGUGUGGGGGGGUUUCUUUUUCUUUUGGUACCAGAGAUUGAACCUAGGGGCACUUAACCACUGAGCCACAUCCCCAGCCCUUUUUAGUAUUUUAUUUAGAAACAGGGUCUACUGAGUUCCUUAGGGCCUCACCAAGUUGCUGAGGCUGGCUUUGAACUCUAGGUCCUCCUGCCUCAAUCUCCCAAGCCACUGGGAUUAUAGGCGUGUGUCACCGUGCCUGGGUGUAAAUUUAUAUUUUAAAUUAUAAAAUGCAUAAUACUUUCUCUUAGUAUAACAUUAAAACAUUGCAGGUCGAUAAAUUUGGCCACCUCCCACUCUCGGUUCUCUGAAAUGAUUGCUUUGAUGUGUUUGUGUGCGUCUCUGCAGACCUUUUCCGUGGCGUCUGCCUGCAUGCAUGUGCACAUAGGAAUUCUAGUUUUGUCCUGUGGAUGUGUUUCCCAUAGAUGUUAUCAUAGCAAGUUAUUCUGCAAAUUGCCUUUUUUCCUUAACAGUAUGUCUUAGAGGUCUUCCAUGUCUGGGUUUACCUAGAAAAUAUUUUUCCUGGAGCUGGCAUUUGGGGGAAAGUUAGUACAAGGUCAGAGGUUAGAGAACGGUCUGAGACUGAGGAAGCUGACCUGAAUGGAGCUGGCAUCAGCCUCAUUUGCACUAUCUCUUAAGCUCUUCUAACAAAGCAGGAGCUCUUUGCUAAGGAGUAAGGAAUCUCUGGAACUGUACAGUCAACAUACACACAUAUGUUUUCUGUUUAAAAACUUCUGAAAUCUAGAAGUUUUCCCUUUGCUCUUUUUUUUUUUUUUUUAAUUUUUUUGUAUUGUAGAUGGACAGAAUGCUUUUAUUUUAUUUGUUAACUUUUAUGUGGUGCUGAGGAUCGAACCCAGUGCCUCACACAUGCUAGGCAAGUGCUUUGCCACUGAGCUACAGCCCCAGCCCUCCCUUUGCUCUUGAUCUCUACCAUCACUGAAGUAUAAAGAGCUCAGUCCCAUAGAUGGCCUCCCAUGCCUCUCAGGACAGUGGUUUUGAAACUGUUCUCCCCAGAGCUCCUUUAGGGCUGGCUGCAAGUGGAAUUAUCUCAGUGGACAGUGAGAUACUAAAACUAGUGCUCUCCCUGCCCUCUCCACUCAGCCCCUGAACUUGGACUUCCACUAGUUUCUGUGGCCAGAGUUCUUAAGGGCACUGCCUUUAUAAAGAGAGCCUGAGAACCCCUGCUUGUUGUGUCCUAACAGGUUAGCAUGGUCACAUUUCCAUUCAUCAUGGCUGUCUGACUUGGCAUUUAUUAAAAUUGGCAGAAUGCACCAGACUAAAUUUAACAAAAUUAGAGUAUUCUUUAGCCAAAGGAAUCUAAAAUGGCUCUGCCUCUCUGAAGUAUUGGCCUUGCUUAGGUUAAGCAUUGAGAGAUAAUUUGCCUUAAUUAGGAAAUGAAUUAUUUGAAAUCAGCUUUGACUUGAAGCCAGAGUUUAAACUCUUUUUUUUUUUUUUUCUUGUACCAAGGAUUGAACCCAGAGUUGCUUAACCACUGAGCCACAUCCCCAGCCCCUUUAAUUUUUUUAUUUUGAGAUAGCGUUUCUUCUGAGUUGCUUAGGGCCUCACUAAGUUACUGAGGCUGGCCUUGAAUUUGUGAUCCUCCUGCCUCAGCCUCCCAAGCUGCUGGAUUUCAGGUGUGCACCACUGCACCAAGCCCCUUUUUAUAACUUUUAAUGCAGACAUUAUUGCCCUAACUUUGGAAAAAGGUGAAAGUCAUCUUUUUUUUUCUUAAAGAAUUUAAUUUUUUUAUUUAAAGAACUAAGGUUUUUUUCUUUCUUUUUUUUUUUUUAAUGUGUGUGUAUGUGUGUAGAUUAAAUGUUUUUAAAAAUGUAAAAAAAGCCAGGGCUGGGGAUAUAGCUCAGUUGGUAGAGUGCUUGCCUUGUGUGCACAAGGCCCUGGGUUCAAUACCCAAUACCACCAAAAAAAGUAAAAAAAUAUCAAGGAGCAAAGAAACAAGCCUGUCUAUUGAAACACAACCACAGGUAAUAUUUGUGCUUUUUUCUAAUUAUAGACUUAAGGGAAUUCUAAUUCUUUUACCAAACUAUUCCUCAGUUUGCCAGGCAGUAUAGCAGGAAUGAGCCUUUGACCUUUGCAUGGUUACGCCGAUACAUCAAAUGGCCUCUACAACCACCUAAGAACAUUAAAGACCUCAUGGAUCUUGAAGCUGUCCAUGACGUCUUGGAUCUUUACCUGUGGCUAAGGUACCAAUUUUCUCCUUUAUGUGUUCUUGUUUCUAAGUAAUAGGGCAAAUCAAAGGUUUUAUGAAUGGUGGGAGGUUUUUUGUUUGUUUUUUGUUUCAAACUCAGCACAUAUUUGCAAGAAGCUCUAUAUUAUGUUUGUUGUCAAUAAAAGCACUUGAGCCUGGCUUAUAUUUCUUCCAAAAAAGUCUUCAGGAGUUUUGUGGUUAUCAUUGAGACAGCCAAGUGAGAAGAUCCACUAGACCCUUUCUACUCAAAGAGUGGUCCUUGGAUCACAAGUGUUGGUAUCACCUGGGAGCUUUAGAAAUAAAGAAUCUCAGGGCCAUCCCAGACUUAAUCAGAUUCUGCAGUUUAACAGUAUCUUCAGUUGGUUCACUUGUAGAUUUUUGACAUUUGAGAAUCCGUGCUCUAGAGGGCUCGGCUUCUCAAAGGAGGGGUAUAUAUCCCUAGGGGAGCAUAUAAAGAUUACUUGAGAUAGCAUACCAACCCACUUUCAUCAUGACAUAUUCCUCAGGUAUGUUGGAGAAGAAGUAGAAGUUGAAUAAAGAUACUGGACAGUUUGCAAAAAGAAAACAUUUGGAAUUAACGUAGGUGUGCCACUGAGAUUAGUCCAGAGCUGUUGCUAUAAUAUAUCGUGUCCUUUUCACAGCUACCGAUUCAUGGACAUGUUUCCAGAUACCAGCCUUGUGCGAGACCUGCAGAAGGAGCUGGAUGGUGUUAUCCAGGACGGUGUUCACAACAUCACCAAACUGAUUAAAAUUUCCGAGACACGUAAGCUGUUGCAUCUGGAAAGCUCAUUAGCAGGGAGCCAGUCACGUUUGUCAGGAACCUUGAAGAGCCAAGCUAGAAGGGCACGUGGCACCAAAACUGCAGGGAGUAAAGCUGCUGAGCCGCUUGGCGCCAGCGCUGGGGAGCUAUCCCUCGCUUCCAGACUGGUGCAGCAAGGACUCCUCACUCCAGACAUGUUGAAGCAGCUUGAAAAGGAGUGGAUGACACAACAGACUGAACAUGGCCAAGAGAGAACAGAGUCUGGGACUUACUCAAAAGGGACAAGAAGAAAGAAGAAGGAACACAAUUCUGAUUAGUUUUUGUUUUUUUAAUUUUGCAAAUAAAAAUCUAUUUUAAG